RNAcentral lists this ribosomal RNA (191 nucleotides) under uncultured bacterium. RNAcentral describes it as "partial 16S ribosomal RNA". It matches the Rfam family "Bacterial small subunit ribosomal RNA", at positions 334 to 522 of the family's 1533-position model. The record is from RNAcentral.
UACUCCUACGGGAGGCAGCAGUGAGGAAUAUUGGUCAAUGGGCGCAGGCCUGAACCAGCCAAGUAGCGUGAAGGAUGAGGGUUCUAUGGAUUGUAAACUUCUUUUAUACGGGAAUAACAUCACCUACGUGUAGGUGCCUGCAUGUACCGUAUGAAUAAGCAUCGGCUAACUCCGUGCCAGCAGCCGCGGUA